GAUGAACGCUGGCGGCGUGCCUAAUACAUGCAAGUCGAGCGAACAGACCAGGAGCUUGCUCCUCUGACGUUAUCGGCGGACGGGAGAGUAACACGUGGUUAACCUAACUAUAAGACUGGGAUAACUUUGGGAAACCGGAGCUAAUACCGGAUAAUAUAUUGAACCGCAUGGUUCCAUAGUUAAAGAAGGUUUUUCUGACACUUAUAGACGGCUCAGGACAGCAUUAGUUAGUUGGUAAGGUAAAGGAUUACCAAGGCAACGAUGCGUAACCGACCUGAGCGGGUGAACGGCCAGACGGGAACUGAGACUCAGUACAGACUCCUAGAGUGAGCAACAGUAGGGACUCUUACGCGAGGGACGAGAGGCUGACGGAGCAACGCCGCGUGAGGGAUGAUGGUCUUCUGAUCGUAGAGCGCUGUUAGUAUUAAAGAACUAAUGUGUAAGUAACUAUGAUCAUAAUGACGGUACCUAGUCAGAAAGCCACGGCUAACUACGUG
This 497-nucleotide ribosomal RNA is filed under the name uncultured bacterium. RNAcentral's name for it is "partial 16S ribosomal RNA". It matches the Rfam family "Bacterial small subunit ribosomal RNA", at positions 28 to 507 of the family's 1533-position model. The record is from RNAcentral.